GGAUAGCUCACUUGGUUAGAGCGUGGUGCUGUUAACACCACGUUCACGGGUUCAAUCCCCAUAAGGGACA
This is a non-coding RNA of Podarcis lilfordi (Lilford's wall lizard), 70 nucleotides long. The record is from the annotation of a GenBank genome assembly. Lineage: Eukaryota; Metazoa; Chordata; Lepidosauria; Squamata; Lacertidae.